This 1609-nucleotide ribosomal RNA is filed under the name Salmonella enterica subsp. enterica serovar Enteritidis. Its description in RNAcentral is "partial 23S ribosomal RNA". It matches the Rfam family "Bacterial large subunit ribosomal RNA", at positions 1212 to 2803 of the family's 2925-position model. Lineage: Bacteria; Pseudomonadati; Pseudomonadota; Gammaproteobacteria; Enterobacterales; Enterobacteriaceae. The record is from RNAcentral.
CACUGUGUGUUGUUGGGUAGGGGAGCGUUCUGUAAGCCUGUGAAGGUGUGUCGUGAGGCAUGCUGGAGGUAUCAGAAGUGCGAAUGCUGACAUAAGUAACGAUAAAGCGGGUGAAAAGCCCGCUCGCCGGAAGACCAAGGGUUCCUGUCCAACGUUAAUCGGGGCAGGGUGAGUCGACCCCUAAGGCGAGGCCGAAAGGCGUAGUCGAUGGGAAACGGGUUAAUAUUCCCGUACUUGGUGUUACUGCGAAGGGGGGACGGAGAAGGCUAUGUUGGCCGGGCGACGGUUGUCCCGGUUUAAGCGUGUAGGUGUGUGUUCCAGGUAAAUCCGGUUCACUUUAACACUGAGGCGUGACGACGAGGCACUACGGUGCUGAAGCAACAAAUGCCCUGCUUCCAGGAAAAGCCUCUAAGCAUCAGGUAACAUCAAAUCGUACCCCAAACCGACACAGGUGGUCAGGUAGAGAAUACCAAGGCGCUUGAGAGAACUCGGGUGAAGGAACUAGGCAAAAUGGUGCCGUAACUUCGGGAGAAGGCACGCUGACACGUAGGUGAAGUGAUUUACUCAUGGAGCUGAAGUCAGUCGAAGAUACCAGCUGGCUGCAACUGUUUAUUAAAAACACAGCACUGUGCAAACACGAAAGUGGACGUAUACGGUGUGACGCCUGCCCGGUGCCGGAAGGUUAAUUGAUGGGGUCAGCGCAAGCGAAGCUCCUGAUCGAAGCCCCGGUAAACGGCGGCCGUAACUAUAACGGUCCUAAGGUAGCGAAAUUCCUUGUCGGGUAAGUUCCGACCUGCACGAAUGGCGUAAUGAUGGCCAGGCUGUCUCCACCCGAGACUCAGUGAAAUUGAACUCGCUGUGAAGAUGCAGUGUACCCGCGGCAAGACGGAAAGACCCCGUGAACCUUUACUAUAGCUUGACACUGAACAUUGAGCCUUGAUGUGUAGGAUAGGUGGGAGGCUUUGAAGUGUGGACGCCAGUCUGCAUGGAGCCGACCUUGAAAUACCACCCUUUAAUGUUUGAUGUUCUAACGUGGACCCGUUACCCGGGUUGCGGACAGUGUCUGGUGGGUAGUUUGACUGGGGCGGUCUCCUCCUAAAGAGUAACGGAGGAGCACGAAGGUUGGCUAAUCCUGGUCGGACAUCAGGAGGUUAGUGCAAUGGCAUAAGCCAGCUUGACUGCGAGCGUGACGGCGCGAGCAGGUGCGAAAGCAGGUCAUAGUGAUCCGGUGGUUCUGAAUGGAAGGGCCAUCGCUCAACGGAUAAAAGGUACUCCGGGGAUAACAGGCUGAUACCGCCCAAGAGUUCAUAUCGACGGCGGUGUUUGGCACCUCGAUGUCGGCUCAUCACAUCCUGGGGCUGAAGUAGGUCCCAAGGGUAUGGCUGUUCGCCAUUUAAAGUGGUACGCGAGCUGGGUUUAGAACGUCGUGAGACAGUUCGGUCCCUAUCUGCCGUGGGCGCUGGAGAACUGAGGGGGGCUGCUCCUAGUACGAGAGGACCGGAGUGGACGCAUCACUGGUGUUCGGGUUGUCAUGCCAAUGGCACUGCCCGGUAGCUAAAUGCGGAAGAGAUAAGUGCUGAAAGCAUCUAAGCACGAAACUUGCCCCGAG